Molecule: long non-coding RNA, 332 nt
Organism: Ostrinia furnacalis (Asian corn borer)
Lineage: Eukaryota; Metazoa; Arthropoda; Insecta; Lepidoptera; Crambidae
Exons: 4
Source: RefSeq, a predicted model, not a curated record
UAUAGUCAACAGUUUCUUGUGAGCUCUUCAUUGAGAUUGUUGUGGAUUAAAAUCAGUUUUUAUUUUUCUAUGAAUGUAAUAUUUAGUGCUGAAAUGGAAGAAGCCUAUUUGCAACUUGGUGAUUAACCAUCAGAAGGAACAACUAUGUAAAAGGAUUUCUAUGAUUGUGGUGCAUAAUAACUACAGCAACUUCAGAAGAUUGCAUCGUAGAAACUGGAAACUUCCCGAUAAAAAAGACGCUGUGGGGUGGCAGAUGGCGGUACUAGUGGUCGGCGCAGGCACUGGGGAAAACGCAGAUGCGAAGAUGGCGGGGAAAUAAAACUUAUCCAGGU